UACGUAGGGCGCGAGCGUUGUCCGGAAUUAUUGGGCGUAAAGAGCUCGUAGGCGGUCUGUCGCGUCGGAUGUGAAAACCCAGGGCUCAACCCUGGGCCUGCAUUCGAUACGGGCAGACUAGAGUUCGGUAGGGGAGACUGGAAUUCCUGGUGUAGCGGUGAAAUGCGCAGAUAUCAGGAGGAACACCGGUGGCGAAGGCGGGUCUCUGGGCCGAAACUGACGCUGAGGAGCGAAAGCGUGGGGAGCAAACAGG
Molecule: ribosomal RNA, 253 nt
Filed under: uncultured bacterium
Lineage: Bacteria
Description: partial 16S ribosomal RNA
Rfam family: Bacterial small subunit ribosomal RNA
Source: RNAcentral